This 969-nucleotide ribosomal RNA is filed under the name Triticum aestivum (bread wheat). Its description in RNAcentral is "partial small subunit ribosomal RNA". Lineage: Eukaryota; Viridiplantae; Streptophyta; Magnoliopsida; Poales; Poaceae. The record is from RNAcentral.
AUGCUGGGUGUCAGCUGCUCUCUGUCACGCGAGGCGUCCUGUCCGGCCCCGACAGCGACAGUGGGGCCCAGGAAGACCGUUUGUUCACCACCAUCGGUGCAGCUAACCAGGUGGCGACAGAAGGAGGUGGAGGAAGCUGCUGCUACGCAGGGGAUUGGGGCCAGCGCCUCGGCCUUGAUGCCCAAUGGAGGGCUGCAUGUGGACGGAUCAGUGUGGAUCGGAUUGGUCCAAAUCCCCCUCCCUCUGCAGGAUAUGACAGACGAAGAUUUGCCAAGUGUUGGGACUAGGGAGAAUCAAGAACUCCUGUCGAUGCAGCAGGAUGUGGAAGACUGCGCCAUGCAGGUGGAGCCCUGGGAGACUUUCCAGGUCAGCCUAUCCUCUGGGGAGACCAGCCAGCUGAGGGAUCCGAGGCCAUGCAUGAUCAGGCAUGCGCCGGGCGUGGGCCAGCCCGAGGAUGACGCGGGCCAUGUGGCCAACCAGAUGGCAUGCACGCAAGGCAGUCCGACGAAUGGGGUAGAUGCGGACCCACCUGAGGAGGAGCUCGGCCAUGCGUCGGAUCCGAGGCCAUGCAGUACUGUUCCCAUGCAGGCUGCGGCGGGGAACGAGUUUCACGUAGAUGUGGGGACUUUUUGUGCUGGUGUGCGCCAGCCCUUGUCUCCGAUCCUGCCAAGACCAAGCAAUAGAACUGCUGCCCAAACCUGCCGCCAAGCAAGGAAGAAGCCGAGGCUAGACGCCACGCCUAGGAGGAGUGCUAGGAUCGCCAAACAUGCGGCAACCAAGCCGCAACAAGUGCUCAUCAGAAAGUUGUGCUUGGCACACGAGGGGGAGGCUAUUUCAGAGGGCGCUCUUCGGAUGUAUGUUGACCUUUGCUCACGCCCUCUCUCGGGUGCACACAUUGCGGCUGUGCUGGCGUUGUUUGGAUGGGAAUCACCUCAGGAGCCGUGGAUCGAGGGCCCUAUCGUGGCCUAG